Molecule: ribosomal RNA, 465 nt
Filed under: uncultured bacterium
Lineage: Bacteria
Description: partial 16S ribosomal RNA
Rfam family: Bacterial small subunit ribosomal RNA
Source: RNAcentral
CUACGGGUCGCUGCAGUGGGGAAUAUUGGACAAUGGGGGAACCCCUGCUCCAGCCCUGCCGCGUGUGUGAAGAAGGCCUGCGGGUUGUAAAGCACUUUCGGUUGGGAGGACUGCUUCUAGCACUAAUAUUGUUGGAAGUUGACGUUACCUUCAGAAGAAGCACCGGCUAACUCCGUGCCAGCAGCCGCGGUAAUACGGAGGAUGCAAGCGUUAAUCGGAAUUACUGGGCGUAAAGCGCGCGUAGGCGGCUAGAUCAGUCGGGUGUGAAAGCCCCGGGCUUGACCUGGGAACUGCAUCCGAUACUGUCUAGCUUGAGUACAGGAGAGGAGAGUGGAAUUCCACAUGUAGCGGUGAAAUGCGUAGAUAUGUGGAGGAACACCAAUGGCGAAGGCAGCUCUCUGGCCUGAUACUGACGCUGAGGUGCGAAAGCGUGGGGAGCAAACAGGAUUAGAUACCCCAGUAGUC